This 1503-nucleotide ribosomal RNA is filed under the name metagenome. Its description in RNAcentral is "bacterial LSU rRNA". It matches the Rfam family "Bacterial large subunit ribosomal RNA", at positions 1439 to 2925 of the family's 2925-position model. The record is from RNAcentral.
UUGUACUUGGUGUUACUGCGAAGGGGGGACGGAGAAGGCUAUGUUGGCCGGGCGACGGUUGUCCCGGUUUAAGCGUGUAGGCUGGUUUUCCAGGCAAAUCCGGAAAAUCAAGGCUGAGGCGUGAUGACGAGGCACUACGGUGCUGAAGCAACAAAUGCCCUGCUUCCAGGAAAAGCCUCUAAGCAUCAGGUAACAUCAAAUCGUACCCCAAACCGACACAGGUGGUCAGGUAGAGAAUACCAAGGCGCUUGAGGGAACUCGGGUGAAGGAACUAGGCAAAAUGGUGCCGUAACUUCGGGAGAAGGCACGCUGAUAUGUAGGUGAAGCGACUUGCUCGUGGAGCUGAAAUCAGUCGAAGAUACCAGCUGGCUGCAACUGUUUAUUAAAAACACAGCACUGUGCAAACACGAAAGUGGACGUAUACGGUGUGACGCCUGCCCGGUGCCGGAAGGUUAAUUGAUGGGGUUAGCGCAAGCGAAGCUCUUGAUCGAAGCCCCGGUAAACGGCGGCCGUAACUAUAACGGUCCUAAGGUAGCGAAAUUCCUUGUCGGGUAAGUUCCGACCUGCACGAAUGGCGUAAUGAUGGCCAGGCUGUCUCCACCCGAGACUCAGUGAAAUUGAACUCGCUGUGAAGAUGCAGUGUACCCGCGGCAAGACGGAAAGACCCCGUGAACCUUUACUAUAGCUUGACACUGAACAUUGAGCCUUGAUGUGUAGGAUAGGUGGGAGGCUUAGAAGUGUGGACGCCAGUCUGCAUGGAGCCGACCUUGAAAUACCACCCUUUAAUGUUUGAUGUUCUAACGUUGACCCGUAAUCCGGGUUGCGGACAGUGUCUGGUGGGUAGUUUGACUGGGGCGGUCUCCUCCUAAAGAGUAACGGAGGAGCACGAAGUUGGCUAAUCCUGGUCGGACAUCAGGAGGUUAGUGCAAUGGCAUAAGCCAGCUUGACUGCGAGCGUGACGGCGCGAGCAGGUGCGAAAGCAGGUCAUAGUGAUCCGGUGGUUCUGAAUGGAAGGGCCAUCGCUCAACGGAUAAAAGGUACUCCGGGGAUAACAGGCUGAUACCGCCCAAGAGUUCAUAUCGACGGCGGUGUUUGGCACCUCGAUGUCGGCUCAUCACAUCCUGGGGCUGAAGUAGGUCCCAAGGGUAUGGCUGUUCGCCAUUUAAAGUGGUACGCGAGCUGGGUUUAGAACGUCGUGAGACAGUUCGGUCCCUAUCUGCCGUGGGCGCUGGAGAACUGAGGGGGGCUGCUCCUAGUACGAGAGGACCGGAGUGGACGCAUCACUGGUGUUCGGGUUGUCAUGCCAAUGGCACUGCCCGGUAGCUAAAUGCGGAAGAGAUAAGUGCUGAAAGCAUCUAAGCACGAAACUUGCCCCGAGAUGAGUUCUCCCUGACCCUUUAAGGGUCCUGAAGGAACGUUGAAGACGACGACGUUGAUAGGCCGGGUGUGUAAGCGCAGCGAUGCGUUGAGCUAACCGGUACUAAUGAACCGUGAGGCUUAACC